UUUCUAAUAUGGCAGAUUAGGGCAAUGAAUUUAAGCUUCAUAUAUAAAGUAUUUAACUUUUAUUAGAAUUCU
Molecule: transfer RNA, 72 nt
Filed under: Acilius semisulcatus
Lineage: Eukaryota; Metazoa; Arthropoda; Insecta; Coleoptera; Dytiscidae
Description: tRNA-Leu
Source: RNAcentral